Pangasianodon hypophthalmus (striped catfish) is the source of this 1738-nucleotide long non-coding RNA. RefSeq lists it as uncharacterized. The transcript is spliced from 3 exons. The record is from RefSeq and is a predicted model, not a curated record. NCBI's taxonomy places the organism in Eukaryota, Metazoa, Chordata, Actinopteri, Siluriformes, Pangasiidae.
AUUGGCUAGUAACAGCCCGACGCACUGCAACGUCAUUGUGCAUGGUCCAAUCAGCGGAGUGCUUAUCAACAGGAAGCGUUGAGGCUCGGAAUGAAAAAAUGAUGCAAAUGGUCGCUAGAGGUCGCGCUGUUUUUAUUUUAAAUAGAUUUUGGUUUUUUUAACUCUAUCGAGAUCCGUAGAAAUUUUAAGAGGGACAAACGUGGGCGGAGCUAAGGGGUAGCCAGGGGGUGGCCAGUGACCAAAUACGAAACCAGCCAUAUUAGAGCAAGGGGGCAUCAUUCCUUGACUGUUGUGCCUUUUCUGUCCCUGAAGAAAACAAUCUCAUUAGAUGUAAAGAGUUGUUUUAGACCUCCAUCCAUGCAUUUCCAUAAAGGUUAUCCUACACAAGACAGGGUGCCAACCCAUCGCAGGGCACAAUCACACGCCAUGGACAAUUUGGAAAUGCCAAUCUGCCUACAUCACGUCUUUGGACUGGAGGAGGAACUCGGAGUACCUGGAGGAAACUUCCAAAGCACGGGGAGAACAUGCAAACUCUACGCACACAGGCCAGAGGCAGGAUUCAAACCCCCAACCCUGGAGGUGCGAGGCAAAUGUACUAACCACUAAGCCACGUUGCCCCAGUUUUAGACUUUAAAUUAUUUGAAUUCUAUGUUAUAUAAAAAGAAAUAUACUCACUCUCACUCCCUCACUGUCAGUAACCAUUUUAUCCUGGUCAGGGUCACAGUGGAUCCGGAGCCUGUCCCAGGAACACUGGUUGCGAGCUAGGAAUACACCCUUGAUCAGACACAAGUCCAUUGCAGGGCAUCAGGCACACACAUUCAGACACUCAUGAACACCUAUGGGCCAUUUAUCUUAUCCAAUCCACCUGUUUGCAUGUUUUUGGCAAGUGGGAGGAAAGUAGAGAACCCAGAAGAAACCCAUGAGGACACAGGGAGAACAUGCAUGUAAACUCGACACAAAGAUUAACCCGAGCUACUUGCCACUUUCUUUACUGAAACUAUAAACAAUAUUUAGAGCUAAUCCUACUUACUAUUUCUUUGAUAAAUUUAAAAUUUCCAUGAAUAAAAAUAAACAUUCAUGGAAAAUUUAAAUUUAUCAUAUUGUCAUGUUAUUUCAUGUUUUUAUUUUUUUUUUUUGUACCCAGUAGUAAUUUCUACCCUGUAAGUAUGCACUUAUACACAUUUCACCCUGUUAGGCAGAAUUACACAGUCAAUCUAUUUCAUGUAAUACAUAUUUUAAAUAUGUGGCAUAUAGCUAUUUAAUUAAAAGCUCAAGGUCAAAUAUUAUUUUACAACAAUAACUAUCUGUGCCGAUACCAGAUCAAAAUCUGCCUUUGUAUUUUCACACUGCGAGUCCUGUACUUCCUAACAGAGUGGAAAUACAGCCUAUAAAUGUAAAAGUUCCUCUCACAUCAAUAAUUUAUUUUGAAGAAAAGGAUAUAUGUAUCUAGUAUGUUUGUAUAAUGUAUGGUAUACAUUUAGGUACAGUGAUUGCACCACAAGGGCUUUAAUCAUUUAAAAAUGUCCAAAAGGCACUGUAUAUAAUGAAAAAAAAACAGACACAGACAUUUGUAUUUUUUUUUUAUUAAUUUAUCUGUUUUUCUUAAAGUAUAAUAAACAAAAACAACACUAUAGCUUAUUGAAAACUACAUAUACAGUCAUAUAACAUUCUUACACAGUGCUUAAAACUGCUACGAUCCUCUUUGGUUACAGAGAUAGAGCACAGAAGUGAAGAAGUG